Stomoxys calcitrans (stable fly) is the source of this 1615-nucleotide long non-coding RNA. RefSeq lists it as uncharacterized. Lineage: Eukaryota; Metazoa; Arthropoda; Insecta; Diptera; Muscidae. The transcript is spliced from 3 exons. The record is from RefSeq and is a predicted model, not a curated record.
UUGACUAUCAUUCUUCUUGGAGCAUUUAAACAUCGUAACGAACGAAAAAUUUGUGUGGGAAAGUUUCUCUCGAAAUUAUGUAAAAUCAGCUUAAAAUGCGGCUUAUCAAAUCCCCUUACGUCUUACUCACAACGAGUUCGUUUAACCGGGCCAUGGGAUACAUUAACUAAAUAUGGCUUUCUCACAACUUUAACAAUUAUUACGCAUAAAAAAACACCACCAUGGUCAAAGGCCUAGUCCUGUCAGAGCAAGCCAAAAACGCAGCAAAUAUUGGAAACGUACGUGGUGUUUACGAAAUAAUUAAACAAAGGAGUGGCAACAAUAUAAGACCAACGGCAAUAAGCAAAGAUGAUGACGGAUCAGAAUUAACAACACCCGAACAGCAAUCAGAGCGUUGGAUCGGAUUUUUCAGCUCCGAAGGACUACAAACCGAGGACGUAAGCUCCGACCCUCGUAAUCCCCCUGUGCGCCGAAACCAACGCAGAUAUAUGUAUAUAUGCAGCCCCACCCACCUGCGAAGAAAUUGAGGCCGUUCUGAUCUCACUCAAAAACGGCAAAUCGGCCGGACCUGACAACGUACCAGCCGCAUGGCACACACUACAUAGCUCAAAUCUGAGAUACAAACGUUGUCCCCUCGGAAAAGAACAAUAGAAUAAUGGUCAAAAUCCCAAAGAUAAAAGUGUAAAACUUGAGGGGGAUUACAUUGCUAAACGGAAUAAAUAAAGUGAUUACAAUUUUUCUUCUGCAGCGUAUUUCGCCUGCGUUUGAUGGCUUAUUGAGGAAGGAACAGGCAGGCUUUCGGCCAGAAAGUUUUUGUGCCGACCAUUAAUGCAUAACGUAUAAUCAUUAAACAGUCUUCAGAAUUUUAUAUACACCUGUACCUCCUAUUCGCCGACUUCGAUUUCGUCACUUUUGUCACAGUUUCGCGAGAUCAAUGUGAAGCAUGCUGUCGAAUAAGGACGUCUUUGAAAAGAGAGUGACUAUGAUUUUGAAGCUGUAUAGGAAUGCAGAAGUUUCAGUUCGUUUCAAUGGGAAAGAGAGCCGUUCUUUCGCUAUCAAUAAAGUAGUGAAAGGCAACAAAUGUUAAGGCACCAUAUGGCAUUCGCUGGGGCCAAAACGACUUCCUUGGAGACAUCGACUAAGCUAACAAAAUUGAAAUUGGAACGCUUGAAUGAGAACGCGGCCAAAGUAGUCCUGAAAUAUACAUACCUAAGACCAAAUUGACGUGGAUAGGAACAAAAAAUCUGACACCGCUCACUAUAAACGGCCAUGUCAUUGAAGAUGUUGAUAAAUUUUUCUAUCUUAGCAGCUAAAUUACAAAGGACGGAGGAUCAGAAGCAGACGUGCGCGAAUGUAUCAACAAGACUCGAAGCUCCUUUUUUAAUCUCAACAAACUUUGGAGAUGCAGUGACAUCUCACAUAAUAUAAAAUUAGGAAUCUUCAACAGUAGUGCAAAAUUUAUUUUAUUACUAGCUGGACCGGGCCGGCACCGCUGCGCCUUCUUUUACUUUAUAUGGAACACAAGUUUCCUUGGAAUAUUUAUUUUCGAAGAUCUUUUAGUGAAAUACCAUGCUUACUUGACAAGAGUUUAACAAUAUAAGUGCCUCUAUCUGAA